UCGACCUGAGAUCAGGCAAGGCUA
This 24-nucleotide ribosomal RNA is filed under the name Desmochloris halophila. RNAcentral's name for it is "partial 28S ribosomal RNA". The record is from RNAcentral. RNAcentral also lists the same sequence under 1 other name. Lineage: Eukaryota; Viridiplantae; Chlorophyta; Ulvophyceae; Chlorocystidales; Chlorocystidaceae.